GCUGGAAUGGCCGAGUCGUUAAGGCGAGUGAUUUGAAUUGCUCAUCAUCACUUGGUGUUUCACCGCGUAGGUUCAAAUCCUGCUUCCAGCG
Molecule: transfer RNA, 91 nt
Rfam family: tRNA
About the family: Transfer RNA (tRNA) molecules are approximately 80 nucleotides in length. Their secondary structure includes four short double-helical elements and three loops (D, anti-codon, and T loops).